RNAcentral lists this ribosomal RNA (2901 nucleotides) under Klebsiella pneumoniae. RNAcentral describes it as "23S ribosomal RNA". It matches the Rfam family "Bacterial large subunit ribosomal RNA". Lineage: Bacteria; Pseudomonadati; Pseudomonadota; Gammaproteobacteria; Enterobacterales; Enterobacteriaceae. The record is from RNAcentral.
GGUUAAGCGACUAAGCGUACACGGUGGAUGCCCUGGCAGUCAGAGGCGAUGAAGGACGUGCUAAUCUGCGAAAAGCGUCGGUAAGGUGAUAUGAACCGUUAUAACCGGCGAUGUCCGAAUGGGGAAACCCAGUGCAAUUCGUUGCACUAUCGUUAACUGAAUACAUAGGUUAACGAGGCGAACCGGGGGAACUGAAACAUCUAAGUACCCCGAGGAAAAGAAAUCAACCGAGAUUCCCCCAGUAGCGGCGAGCGAACGGGGAGCAGCCCAGAGUCUGAAUCAGCUUGUGUGUUAGUGGAACGGUCUGGAAAGUCCGACGGUACAGGGUGAUAGUCCCGUACACCAAAAUGCACAGGCUGUGAACUCGAAGAGUAGGGCGGGACACGUGGUAUCCUGUCUGAAUAUGGGGGGACCAUCCUCCAAGGCUAAAUACUCCUGACUGACCGAUAGUGAACCAGUACCGUGAGGGAAAGGCGAAAAGAACCCCGGCGAGGGGAGUGAAAAAGAACCUGAAACCGUGUACGUACAAGCAGUGGGAGCACCUUCGGGUGUGACUGCGUACCUUUUGUAUAAUGGGUCAGCGACUUAUAUUCUGUAGCAAGGUUAACCGUAUAGGGGAGCCGCAGGGAAACCGAGUCUUAACUGGGCGUUAAGUUGCAGGGUAUAGACCCGAAACCCGGUGAUCUAGCCAUGGGCAGGUUGAAGGUUGGGUAACACUAACUGGAGGACCGAACCGACUAAUGUUGAAAAAUUAGCGGAUGACUUGUGGCUGGGGGUGAAAGGCCAAUCAAACCGGGAGAUAGCUGGUUCUCCCCGAAAGCUAUUUAGGUAGCGCCUCGUGAACUCAUCUUCGGGGGUAGAGCACUGUUUCGGCUAGGGGUCAUCCCGACUUACCAACCCGAUGCAAACUACGAAUACCGAAGAAUGUUAUCACGGGAGACACACGGCGGGUGCUAACGUCCGUCGUGAAGAGGGAAACAACCCAGACCGCCAGCUAAGGUCCCAAAGUCAUGGUUAAGUGGGAAACGAUGUGGGAAGGCACAGACAGCCAGGAUGUUGGCUUAGAAGCAGCCAUCAUUUAAAGAAAGCGUAAUAGCUCACUGGUCGAGUCGGCCUGCGCGGAAGAUGUAACGGGGCUAAACCAUGCACCGAAGCUGCGGCAGCGACACUAUGUGUUGUUGGGUAGGGGAGCGUUCUGUAAGCCUGCGAAGGUGUGCUGUGAGGCAUGCUGGAGGUAUCAGAAGUGCGAAUGCUGACAUAAGUAACGAUAAAGCGGGUGAAAAGCCCGCUCGCCGGAAGACCAAGGGUUCCUGUCCAACGUUAAUCGGGGCAGGGUGAGUCGACCCCUAAGGCGAGGCCGAAAGGCGUAGUCGAUGGGAAACAGGUUAAUAUUCCUGUACUUGGUGUUACUGCGAAGGGGGGACGGAGAAGGCUAUGUUAGCCGGGCGACGGUUGUCCCGGUUUAAGCAUGUAGGCUGGUUGUCCAGGCAAAUCCGGAUAAUCAAGGCUGAGGUGUGAUGACGAGGCACUACGGUGCUGAAGUAACAAAUGCCCUGCUUCCAGGAAAAGCCUCUAAGCAUCAGGUAACAUCAAAUCGUACCCCAAACCGACACAGGUGGUCAGGUAGAGAAUACCAAGGCGCUUGAGAGAACUCGGGUGAAGGAACUAGGCAAAAUGGUGCCGUAACUUCGGGAGAAGGCACGCUGGUGUGUAGGUGAAGCCCCUGCGGGUGGAGCUGAGACCAGUCGAAGAUACCAGCUGGCUGCAACUGUUUAUUAAAAACACAGCACUGUGCAAACACGAAAGUGGACGUAUACGGUGUGACGCCUGCCCGGUGCCGGAAGGUUAAUUGAUGGGGUUAUCCGUAAGGAGAAGCUCUUGAUCGAAGCCCCGGUAAACGGCGGCCGUAACUAUAACGGUCCUAAGGUAGCGAAAUUCCUUGUCGGGUAAGUUCCGACCUGCACGAAUGGCGUAAUGAUGGCCAGGCUGUCUCCACCCGAGACUCAGUGAAAUUGAACUCGCUGUGAAGAUGCAGUGUACCCGCGGCAAGACGGAAAGACCCCGUGAACCUUUACUAUAGCUUGACACUGAACAUUGAGCCUUGAUGUGUAGGAUAGGUGGGAGGCUUUGAAGCGUGGACGCCAGUCUGCGUGGAGCCAACCUUGAAAUACCACCCUUUAAUGUUUGAUGUUCUAACGUUGGCCCCUUACCGGGGUUGCGGACAGUGUCUGGUGGGUAGUUUGACUGGGGCGGUCUCCUCCCAAAGCGUAACGGAGGAGCACGAAGGUUAGCUAAUCCUGGUCGGACAUCAGGAGGUUAGUGCAAUGGCAUAAGCUAGCUUGACUGCGAGCGUGACGGCGCGAGCAGGUGCGAAAGCAGGUCAUAGUGAUCCGGUGGUUCUGAAUGGAAGGGCCAUCGCUCAACGGAUAAAAGGUACUCCGGGGAUAACAGGCUGAUACCGCCCAAGAGUUCAUAUCGACGGCGGUGUUUGGCACCUCGAUGUCGGCUCAUCACAUCCUGGGGCUGAAGUAGGUCCCAAGGGUAUGGCUGUUCGCCAUUUAAAGUGGUACGCGAGCUGGGUUUAGAACGUCGUGAGACAGUUCGGUCCCUAUCUGCCGUGGGCGCUGGAGAAUUGAGGGGGGCUGCUCCUAGUACGAGAGGACCGGAGUGGACGCAUCACUGGUGUUCGGGUUGUCAUGCCAAUGGCACUGCCCGGUAGCUAAAUGCGGAAGAGAUAAGUGCUGAAAGCAUCUAAGCACGAAACUUGCCCCGAGAUGAGUUCUCCCUGAGACUUUAAGUCUCCUGAAGGAACGUUGAAGACGACGACGUUGAUAGGCCGGGUGUGUAAGCGCAGCGAUGCGUUGAGCUAACCGGUACUAAUGAACCGUGAGGCUUAACCUU